AUGUUUAGGAUUAAACUAGGUUUUUAAAAAUUUUGCACGGAACAGCUCCAGCCCUGGUCACAUGAGAUCCACACUCAGAAUUUUAUGCACUUCCACCACCUUCUUCCAGACUAGACCACACUUCUACCACCUGAGGUCCACAGAGUCUACCCUAGAUCAGUGCCUUCCUCUGCCAUCAUCAGAGAAGCUAUCUCCUGAAGCAGAUGGGAACAAAUACAAAUACCCACAGCCAGACUACCUGUAGAGUGAGAGACCAGGGGACACUCAAGUCUAACUGGGGUAUCUACUUCAAAUCCCUCCCUUCAGAGAUCAAGGAAGCCCACAGAAGAGGAGGCAGGAGGAGUGUAAGAGCCCAAGAGGCCACAAUGGAAACAAGGAUUUCCAAACACAGCAGGUUGAGUAUACGUAUGAACUCACAGAGGCUGAGGCAGCAUGCCUAGGUUUUGCAUGGAUCGUACCAGCUUGGGUCCUAGAACUGAAAGGAGUGAAAAGAUGUCUCUACCACCAACCCAAAAUCUAUCUCCAAUUAAUGACCACUUGCAAAUGAAAAUUUAGUUUUCUCCAAGUGAGUCUCAACAGGUAAACAACCUACACUUAACGAUAGUCUCCAUGCCUAGAAGUAAAAAGUCAACAAAAAACCAACUCAGAGGCAUCUCCAAAGGUUCUGUGUUUCUUACUGUUGUGUCAGAGCUUUAAUUUUUCCUCCUUUUAGUUAAAAAUAUAACUUAAUAUUUAAUUAUCAUUAUCGUCAGCACCACCACCAUCAUCAUCAUUAUUCAUUAUGUACAUUACUUACAGGUCUUUUGCAUACAGAUUACGGCUUCUUGUUUUAUGUUUCUAUAGGAUUCCUGAGCAUGAGAACAAGUGGGUCUUGUGUCUUGGUUUCUUGUGACAUUCUUAUGCUCACUUCCUCUGUUUUUUGUUUUGUUUUGUUUUAUCUUAUUAUAUGUCAUUAUUAUCCCUUAGGUGCCUGUUUGGUAUCUAGUGAGAGACAGAAGGGGAGUGAAUCCUGAUCAGAGAGGAGGUAGGGAGAACCUGGAAGAAGCAGAGGGAGGGAAAGCAUAAUCAGACUAUUUGUAUGAAAACAAUAUAUUUUUCAAAAAGAGAAAAAAAGUCUAAAUAAAAACUUUGUAACAAACUA
Molecule: long non-coding RNA, 1141 nt
Organism: Peromyscus eremicus (cactus mouse)
Lineage: Eukaryota; Metazoa; Chordata; Mammalia; Rodentia; Cricetidae
Exons: 2
Source: RefSeq, a predicted model, not a curated record